This 504-nucleotide ribosomal RNA is filed under the name uncultured Sphingobacteriales bacterium. RNAcentral describes it as "bacterial SSU rRNA". It matches the Rfam family "Bacterial small subunit ribosomal RNA", at positions 903 to 1382 of the family's 1533-position model. The record is from RNAcentral. Lineage: Bacteria; Pseudomonadati; Bacteroidota; Sphingobacteriia; Sphingobacteriales.
CGCCUUGCCAGCCCGCUCAGAAACUCAAAGGAAUUGACGGGGCCCGCACAAGCGGAGGAGCAUGUGGUUUAAUUCGAUGAUACGCGAGGAACCUUACCUGGGCUCGAACGUAAGAUGACUGUAGGUGAAAGCUUACAUCUCUUCGGAGCAUUUUACGAGGUGCUGCAUGGUUGUCGUCAGCUCGUGCCGUGAGGUGUCGGGUUAAGUCCCAUAACGAGCGCAACCCCUACCUUUAGUUGCCAUCAGGUUAAGCUGGGGACUCUAAAGGAACUGCCUACGCAAGUAGUGAGGAAGGCGGGGAUGACGUCAAAUCAGCACGGCCCUUACGUCCAGGGCUACACACGUGCUACAAUGGCCGAUACAGAGGGCAGCUACCUGGUGACAGGAUGCAAAUCUCCAAAGUCGGUCUCAGUUCGGAUCGGAGUCUGCAACCCGACUCCGUGAAGUUGGAUUCGCUAGUAAUCGCGCAUCAGCCAUGGCGCGGUGAAUACGUUCCCGGGCCUU